GGGUCAUGUCGGGGAUCUUGUUUCUCAGUGUUGUCAUCAUCAGUCAUCUGACACUAAGUGACAGGCUGCGGUUGUUAGCUAGCAGUCCAGCUAAAUCCAAUUUGUGCGUUAUGAUGUAGUCCUUUUUAGGUUUUUGUUUUCCAGUAGAAUAUUAUAUUAGAAACCCCUACUAUAUGUGAAGUGCACUGGUGAUGAACAUAGUAAUGGAGAAGAGCGCUCGGCGGAAAUGGAGUCCCUAGAGAAAGCAAGAACAAGAUGGGUGUCAGUAGUGGGGCAGCAGUAUUAUCACAAGGAGACCUAUACUUGGAAAACGGAGGAAGAAUGGAGGGAAAAAGAGAGGGCUUGUGUCGGAUAAAAAUUGUGGGAAAGGGGAGAUGGUUUGUUAAAUAAGAAUGGUAGAAAGUGUAAGCAGGGGGAGCUGAAGACAGGAGGAGAAAUGGAAGUGAAUAAGUGUGAAGUAUCCUAUGUGGUAGGUUCGGUGAAGUUAUUGUAUAGGUAUGCACCGAGGAUCAGGAUGAAGAAGAGUGACAGAGUGAAUUUUAUGGAAAAAAGCGUACUCUUCCCUUUUUGCUGAUCCAUGUGUGGUUUCACGGUGGGUGAAAAAAAGAGUUGGGUGAUGGUAACUAGAAGUGGUCUAGUGAUAACUGUUUGUGUUUUUGUGAGGCAGAGGGAGAAUACGCUUGGAGUAAAACUAAUGAGGGCAAGAAAAGUGAAUUGUUUCGUUCUCAAGAAAAGGGCACAAAUGAAAGGAGUGAUAACAGGGGUAGCAGUAAAUAUCAAAGUUGACCAGCUGAGGGGAAAUAUUCCCGGUGUAUGUGAUGAUCGUCGUUUGAUGCGACGCAAACAGGGUGGGGAAACGGAAGUCAUUGUCUGUUUUUUUGAAGUUGAGUCUUUGCCCGAUAAAGUUUGGAUAUAUAAGUAAUCCUGUACGAGCGAUGUGCCGAAUACAUUACGACGUUACAGGUGUCAAGUUUAUGGGUAUGUGGCAGCAGUGUGUAGGAGGGAGGGUCCAAGGUGUUAGAAAUGUGCAGGGCAUGAGACAAAGGAAUGUGUAGUAUGGGGGAAAGUCGCGGAAUGUGUUAAUUGUUGGUGUGCCCAUGGAACUGGGGAUCAGAAAUGUCCCUUGCGAGAGAGGCAGGUUGAGGUUUCCAGGGUUAGAGUAGUGCAUUAGUUGUCACAUUGUACUGAAGGGAUGGAUCGGAAGUCUCGGGAAAAUUGAGGUUGUGGUGGCAGCUGCAGAGAGGUAUAUGGGCGUGCUAGACUUGACAUCAGAAGAGUUACAGGGUGUGUUAAGUGGUGACGUCCCAUCCUUUCAGGGUGAUGGCAUGAGGUAGGAGUAAAUACAUUUAAUUAGUGCGGUAGGGUGGUGUUCAUUUAAUUUUAUAUAAUUUUGAAAUUAGUGAGUGUAGUGUUAGAUGGUAGGGUAUUUAUUUAGUACAUUUGUAUUUUUCAAGCAAAGUAUAAUGGAGUUGUACUCCAGUCUAGUAGAUGGCGGUAAUGAAACAAAUUGGAUGUCAACCGCUGUUAAACCGCAGAAGAAGUAAACAACAAUAUGUCUGGACCAAAUGGAGAUCCUAACAUCUCAACUGAUGAUGGCAUCAUUGACAAUGAAGAUGAAUUCAGAGUAUGUAGCCAUCAACACUGCUGGAUCAGAUCAACUCCUGCCUGGAUGACCUGGAGGAACGCAACGACUCACUGAAUGACCAACUACAUGAACUGUUGGAAUCUAACUGGCAGGCCUGGCAGGAGUUCAGAGUUCAACUGAGCACCGCUACACCCCCAGGAGAGGAUCAACAGUCCCCGGACAAAGAUUCUCCGGCCUCUGAAGGGCGAAGAGGAUAAAGCUGGACUACUCAAUGUUACACAAAACAACAUUCCACCUACCAAUAUGAGCAUCUUUCCUUUUCUCAAGUGUUCAUGUGAUAGGAUUUUCUCUGUCCCUUUCAUGUAGCACUUAUGAACCCUCCACUAAACUAUACCAUUUUAAUCGAUAUGCAGCUGUUGAACUUUUAAGAUGGUUCCUGCUUAGUUAAGUAAAAGAGCCAAAAGCUGAGUACAUUCUGUGUUGAAGUGACUAGUUUAUGCCACCAUCACUACUUACUAUGUAUACCAAUGUUUCAGCUUAGCUAUCCAUAUAGUCAAUUGCCCCCAUGAUUAGUACUUAUGUAUCCAUGUGCUUGGUGUGGGGUGUAAAGCAUGCAGAAUACACUGUGAUUCAUGUCAUAACUGGGGUGUAUUCAUUUUGCCGAAUUGGUUUCUGUUCCAAAACGUUUUGCAAUGAAAACAAGUUUCUAUUGCACAAAUUCAGGUAGGUCCCUCCCUGUUUCAUUUGCUAUGUUUGGCUCUAAGAUGGUAAACAGUUUCUGUUGUAAGAUGUAAUGAACACACUGGUGGUAGGUAAGCAGCUAAGUUAACCUCUAUGGGGUAAUACUACAAAUCAUAUGUGAGCUUUGAUUGGUCAAUAUUUUUCUGUGACAUGCAAGAAGAGAUUAAUGUGUUUGUGUUCCACUUUUUCCCAAUUCAGUUUUUCCUUGUCAGAUUUAACAGUAUAUUGAAUUUUGGACAUAUUAAAUAUAUAUUAAAUUUUACCUUUAUUUAAAACCAGGUAGGCAAGUUGAGAACAAGUUCUCAUUUACAAUUGCGACCUGGCCAAGAUAAAGCAAAGCAGUUCGACAGAUACGACACAGAGUUACACAUGGAGUAAAACAGACAUACAGUCAAUAAUAGUAUAAACAAGUCUAUAUACAAUGUGAGCAAAUGAGGUGAGAAGGGAGGUAAAGGCAAAAAAGGCCAUGGUGGCAAAGUAAAUACAAUUUAGCAAGUAAAACACUGGAAUGGUAGUUUUGCAAUGGAAGAAUGUGCAAAGUAGAAAUAAAAAUAAUGGGGUGCAAAGGAGCAAAAUAAAUAAAUACAUUAAAAUGAAAUACAGUUGGGAAAGAGGUAGUUGUUUGGGCUAAAUUAUAGGUGGGCUAUGUACAGGUGCAGUAAUCUGUGAGCUGCUCUGACAGUUGGUGCUUAAAGCUAGUGAGGGAGAUAAGUGUUUCCAGUUUCAGAGAUUUUUGUAGUUCGUUCCAGUCAUUGGCAGCAGAGAACUGGAAGGAGAGGCGGCCAAAGAAAGAAUUGGUUUUGGGGGUGACUAGAGAGAUAUACCUGCUGGAGCGUGUGCUACAGGUGGGAGAUGCUAUGGUGACCAGCGAGCUGAGAUAAGGGGGGACUUUACCUAGCAGGGUCUUGUAGAUGACAUGGAGCCAGUGGGUUUGGCGACGAGUAUGAAGCGAGAGCCAGCCAACGAGAGCGUACAGGUCGCAAUGGUGGGUAGUAUAUGGGGCUUUGGUGACAAAACGGAUUGCACUGUGAUCCAAUUUGUUGAGUAGGGUAUUGGAGGCUAUUUUGUAAAUGACAUCGCCAAAGUCGAGGAUUGGUAGGAUGGUCAGUUUUACAAGGGUAUGUUUGGCAGCAUGAGUGAAGGAUGCUUUGUUGCGAAAUAGGAAGCCAAUUCUAGAUUUAACUUUGGAUUGGAGAUGUUUGAUAUGGGUCUGGAAGGAGAGUUUACAGUCUAACCAGACACCUAAGUAUUUGUAGUCCACGUAUUCUAAGUCAGAGCCGUCCAGAGUAGUGAUGUUGGACAGGCGGGUAGGUGCAGGUAGCGAUCGGUUGAAGAGCAUGCAUUUAGUUUUACUUCUAUUUAAGAGCAAUUGGAGGCCACGGAAGGAGAGUUGUAUGUGUGAAUGUGUUACUGUUAAUUAUCUGAGUGUGACAUCUUGAAUCACUAACGUCAAGAACUAGCUCUUUAAAACAAUGCGAUAUUCAAUAAUCACAGUGAGGCAAUUGUCAAAUUUUAUUAUAAAUUAAAAUGACCCCAAUACAGAAAACAUCCCAAAAAUACAUGAAACUUCCAGCUGCUAGAAAACACUCUUGUUCAUCGGUUUGUCAUUUGUAGAAUAAAAAUACAUUAAGAAACAUACAGCUGUUUGAAAUGUCACAUAAAUGACCCUUUCUGUCAUGCUCUGGUCCUGUAUAAUAUUUCAGUGGGACACAAACCAGAGACAAGACAAAUGAGCUUGCUUUCAUCAAAGCCAAUAUGGGUUUGUUUACACAGUUAGCCCAAUUGAUCUAAUUGGUAUUUUGACUAAGAACAUCAGAAAAAAAAAUCUGAAAAUUGGGCUGCCUGUGUAAACAGUCUAUGCAUCUGCUCUUCUGCUGUACAAGUGAACUAAUAACAACUGCCCAUUCACUGAAAGCAUCAGUAUCAUCUGGGAGAGACUUAUUCCUUACAUGUUCCUUGAAAAAAAAUACAGUGGCUGUGAUUGGGGACUCUACUGGAGUGCUACAUUACUUGAUUCGGUCUUAUGUAUUUCUGUCUAUAACUUAUGAACAAUUAUCCUAUAUUCAG
Long non-coding RNA from Oncorhynchus kisutch (coho salmon), 4393 nucleotides. RefSeq lists it as uncharacterized. The record is from RefSeq and is a predicted model, not a curated record. NCBI's taxonomy places the organism in Eukaryota, Metazoa, Chordata, Actinopteri, Salmoniformes, Salmonidae. The transcript has 3 exons.